AAAACAAUCAACCUUGGUUUUGGGGCAACCCUCGAUCUCGGCUUGGACUUGGGCGUUUGCCAUCCUCGCGGGUGGCUCGCCUCAAAUGAAUUAGCUGGACCUGUUUGUGAGGAAUGGUUCUACUCGGCGUAAUAAGUAUUUCGCUGAGGACAUGGCUUCGGCUGUGGCCUUCUUCUCGACGAUCGUCUGCUUUCAAACCCUGUUCUCCUUCGGAGACGCACUUUUUAUG
RNAcentral lists this unclassified non-coding RNA (229 nucleotides) under uncultured Tremellomycetes. RNAcentral describes it as "sequence contains ITS2". The record is from RNAcentral. Lineage: Eukaryota; Fungi; Basidiomycota; Tremellomycetes.